GCACCGGGUCCCUCAGGGGCCCACCCCUCCAACUGAAGCCCAGACGCCGUUAAACCACCACGGCAGCCCACUCCUGCAAGAAACAGCCGAAGGACAAGAUCAGCUUAAAUGUUUGUUUCAGAAUGAGGAGUCCUAAAUCACUUAGCUGUUCAUUGCCAGACCAUUUGUAAGGCUUCUCCACUGAAUCUCCAACUGAAGCUCUGCAGCCCGGGCGGACAGCAAACAAUGACUUAAG
Molecule: non-coding RNA, 235 nt
Organism: Cyanistes caeruleus (blue tit)
Lineage: Eukaryota; Metazoa; Chordata; Aves; Passeriformes; Paridae
Source: RefSeq, a predicted model, not a curated record